AGGCAGCAGUAGGGAAUCUUCCGCAAUGGACGAAAGUCUGACGGAGCAACGCCGCGUGAGUGAUGAAGGUUUUCGGAUCGUAAAGCUCUGUUGUUAGGGAAGAACAAGUGCGAGAGUAACUGCUCGCACCUUGACGGUACCUAACCAGAAAGCCACGGCUAACUACGUGCCAGCAGCCGCGGUAAUACGUAGGUGGCAAGCGUUGUCCGGAAUUAUUGGGCGUAAAGGGCUCGCAGGCGGUUUCUUAAGUCUGAUGUGAAAGCCCCCGGCUCAACCGGGGAGGGUCAUUGGAAACUGGGAAACUUGAGUGCAGAAGAGGAGAGUGGAAUUCCACGUGUAGCGGUGAAAUGCGUAGGGAUGUGGAGGAACACCAGUGGCGAAGGCGACUCUCUGGUCUGUAACUGACGCUGAGGAGCGAAAGCGUGGGGAGCGAACAGGAUUAGAUACCCUGGUAGUCCACGCCGUAAACGAUGAGUGCUAAGUGUUAGGGGGUUUCCGCCCCUUAGUGCUGCAGCUAACGCAUUAAGCACUCCGCCUGGGGAGUACGGUCGCAAGACUGAAACUCAAAGGAAUUGACGGGGGCCCGCACAAGCGGUGGAGCAUGUGGUUUAAUUCGAAGCAACGCGAAGAACCUUACCAGGUCUUGACAUCCUCUGACAACCCUAGAGAUAGGGCUUUCCCUUCGGGGACAGAGUGACAGGUGGUGCAUGGUUGUCGUCAGCUCGUGUCGUGAGAUGUUGGGUUAAGUCCCGCAACGAGCGCAACCCUUGAUCUUAGUUGCCAGCAUUCAGUUGGGCACUCUAAGGUGACUGCCGGUGACAAACCGGAGGAAGGUGGGGAUGACGUCAAAUCAUCAUGCCCCUUAUGACCUGGGCUACACACGUGCUACAAUGGACAGAACAAAGGGCUGCAAGACCGCAAGGUUUAGCCAAUCCCAUAAAUCUGUUCUCAGUUCGGAUCGCAGUCUGCAACUCGACUGCGUGAAGCUGGAAUCGCUAGUAAUCGCGGAUCAGCAUGCCGCGGUGAAUACGUUCCCGGGCCUUGUACACACCGCCCGUCACACCACGAGAGUUUGCAACACCCGAAGUCGGUGAGGUAACCUUUAUGGAGCCAGCCGCCGAAGGUGGGGCAGAUGAUUGGGGUGAAGUCGUAACAAGGUAACC
RNAcentral lists this ribosomal RNA (1163 nucleotides) under uncultured Bacillus sp. RNAcentral describes it as "bacterial SSU rRNA". It matches the Rfam family "Bacterial small subunit ribosomal RNA", at positions 346 to 1501 of the family's 1533-position model. Lineage: Bacteria; Bacillati; Bacillota; Bacilli; Caryophanales; Bacillaceae. The record is from RNAcentral.